UAUGAAGGGGGCUAGCGUUGCUCGGAAUCACUGGGCGUAAAGCGCACGUAGGCGGGUUCUUAAGUCAGGGGUGAAAUCCUGGAGCUCAACUCCAGAACUGCCUUUGAUACUGGGAAUCUCGAGUCCGGGAGAGGUGAGUGGAACUGCGAGUGUAGAGGUGAAAUUCGUAGAUAUUCGCAAGAACACCAGUGGCGAAGGCGGCUCACUGGCCCGGUACUGACGCUGAGGUGCGAAAGCGUGGGGAGCAAACAGG
RNAcentral lists this ribosomal RNA (253 nucleotides) under uncultured bacterium. RNAcentral's name for it is "partial 16S ribosomal RNA". It matches the Rfam family "Bacterial small subunit ribosomal RNA", at positions 524 to 776 of the family's 1533-position model. The record is from RNAcentral.